RNAcentral lists this ribosomal RNA (248 nucleotides) under uncultured Bacteroides sp. RNAcentral describes it as "partial 16S ribosomal RNA". It matches the Rfam family "Bacterial small subunit ribosomal RNA", at positions 524 to 771 of the family's 1533-position model. The record is from RNAcentral. Lineage: Bacteria; Pseudomonadati; Bacteroidota; Bacteroidia; Bacteroidales; Bacteroidaceae.
UACGGAGGAUCCGAGCGUUAUCCGGAUUUAUUGGGUUUAAAGGGAGCGUAGGUGGAUUGUUAAGUCAGUUGUGAAAGUUUGCGGCUCAACCGUAAAAUUGCAGUUGAAACUGGCAGUCUUGAGUACAGUAGAGGUGGGCGGAAUUCGUGGUGUAGCGGUGAAAUGCUUAGAUAUCACGAAGAACUCCGAUUGCGAAGGCAGCUCACUAGACUGCAACUGACACUGAUGCUCGAAAGUGUGGGUAUCAA